RNAcentral lists this ribosomal RNA (764 nucleotides) under uncultured archaeon. RNAcentral's name for it is "bacterial SSU rRNA". It matches the Rfam family "Archaeal small subunit ribosomal RNA", at positions 325 to 1090 of the family's 1478-position model. The record is from RNAcentral.
ACGGGGUGCAGCAGGCGCGAAACCUCCACAAUGCGCGAAAGCGUGAUGGGGUUAUCCCGAGUGCCGUCCGAUGAGGAUGGCUUUUCAUCGGUGUAAGGAUCCGAUGGAAUAAAGGGGGGGCAAGACUGGUGUCAGCCGCCGCGGUAAUACCAGCCCCCUGAGUGGUAAGGACGAUUAUUUGGCCUAAAGCGUUCGUAGCCGGCUUAUCAAGUCUUUUGUUAAAUCCAACGAUUCAAUCGUUGGGCCGCAAAAGAUACUGUUAUGCUAGAGGACGGGAGAGGUCGACGGUAGUCCAGGGGUAGGGGUGAAAUCCUAUAAUCCUUGGAGGACCACCAGUGGCGAAGGCGGUCGACUAGAACGUGCCUGACGGUGAGGGACGAAAGCUGGGGGAGCGAACCGGAUUAGAUACCCGGGUAGUCCCAGCCGUAAACGAUGCGGGCUAGGUGUUGGGGCAGCCACGAGCUGCUCCAGUGCCGCAGAGAAGUUGUUAAGCCCGCCGCCUGGGGAGUACGGCCGCAAGGCUGAAACUUAAAGGAAUUGGCGGGGGAGCACCACAAGGGGUGAAGGCUGCGGUUUAAUUGGAGUCAACGCCGGGAACCUUACCGGGGCUGACAGCAGAGUGAAGGCCAGACUGAAGAUCUUGCCAGACAAGCUGAGAGGAGGUGCAUGGCCGUCGCCAGUUCGUGCCGUGAGGUGUCCUGUUAAGUCAGGCAACGAACGAGACCCCCGCUUUUAGUUGCCAGCGGAUUCCAACGGAAUGCCGG